This 466-nucleotide ribosomal RNA is filed under the name Vreelandella stevensii. Its description in RNAcentral is "partial 16S ribosomal RNA". It matches the Rfam family "Bacterial small subunit ribosomal RNA", at positions 338 to 795 of the family's 1533-position model. The record is from RNAcentral. Lineage: Bacteria; Pseudomonadati; Pseudomonadota; Gammaproteobacteria; Oceanospirillales; Halomonadaceae.
CCUACGGGAGGCUGCAGUGGGGAAUAUUGGACAAUGGGCGAAAGCCUGAUCCAGCCAUGCCGCGUGUGUGAAGAAGGCCUUCGGGUUGUAAAGCACUUUCAGUGGGGAAGAAAGCCUUGGGGCUAAUACCCUCGAGGAAGGACAUCACCCACAGAAGAAGCACCGGCUAACUCCGUGCACAGCAGCCGCGGUAAUACGGAGGGUGCGAGCGUUAAUCGGAAUUACUGGGCGUAAAGCGCGCGUAGGCGGUCUGAUAAGCCGGUUGUGAAAGCCCCGGGCUCAACCUGGGAACGGCAUCCGGAACUGUCAGGCUAGAGUGCAGGAGAGGAAGGUAGAAUUCCCGGUGUAGCGGUGAAAUGCGUAGAGAUCGGGAGGAAUACCAGUGGCGAAGGCGGCCUUCUGGACUGACACUGACGCUGAGGUGCGAAAGCGUGGGUAGCAAACAGGAUUAGAUACCCUUGUAGUC